UGACCUCAAAUCAGGUAGGACUACCCGCUGAACUUAAGCAUAUCAAUAAGCGGAGGAAAAGAAACUAACAAGGAUUCCCCUAGUAACUGCGAGUGAAGCGGGAAAAGCUCAAAUUUAAAAUCUGGCGGUCUUUUGGCUGUCCGAGUUGUAAUCUAGAGAAGUGUUAUCCGCGCUGGACCGUGUACAAGUCUCCUGGAAUGGAGCAUCAUAGAGGGUGAGAAUCCCGUCUUUGACAUGGACUGCCAGGGCUUUGUGAUGCGCUCUCAAAGAGUCGAGUUGUUUGGGAAUGCAGCUCAAAAUGGGUGGUAAAUUCCAUCUAAAGCUAAAUAUUGGCGAGAGACCGAUAGCGAACAAGUACCGUGAGGGAAAGAUGAAAAGAACUUUGGAAAGAGAGUUAAACAGUACGUGAAAUUGCUGAAAGGGAAACGCUUGAAGUCAGUCACGUUGUCCAGGGAUCAACCUUGCUUUUGCUUGGUGCACUUUCUGGUUCGACGGGUCAGCAUCAAUUUCGAUCGUUGGAAAAAGGCCAAGGGAAUGUGGCAUCUUUGGAUGUGUUAUAGCCCUUUGUCACAUACAAUGGUUGGGAUUGAGGAACUCAGCACGCCGCAAGGCCGGGUUUAAACCACGUACGUGCUAG
RNAcentral lists this ribosomal RNA (637 nucleotides) under Cortinarius sp. F16487. Its description in RNAcentral is "eukaryotic LSU rRNA". It matches the Rfam family "Eukaryotic large subunit ribosomal RNA", at positions 1 to 632 of the family's 3401-position model. Lineage: Eukaryota; Fungi; Basidiomycota; Agaricomycetes; Agaricales; Cortinariaceae. The record is from RNAcentral.